ACGGGAGGCAGCAGCUAAGAAUAUUCCGCAAUGGGGGAAACCCUGACGGAGCGACGCCGCGUGGAUGAUGAAGGCCGGAAGGUUGUAAAAUCCUUUUAUGACUGAGGAAUAAGUAUUCUGAGAGAAACGGAGUAUGGUGACUGUAGGUUAUGAAUAAGCAACGGCUAAUUACGUGCCAGCAGCCGCGGUAACACGUAAGUUGCGAGCGUUGUUCGGAAUUAUUGGGCGUAAAGGGCAUGUAGGCGGUUAUGCAAGCUUGGUGUGAAAGGCAGGGGCUUAACUCCUGGACUGCGUUGAGAACUGUAUAACUAGAGUCACUGAGGGGCAAACAGAAUUCCAGGUGUAGGGGUGAAAUCUGUAGAUAUCUGGAAGAAUACCAAUGGCGAAGGCAGUUUACCAGCAGAUGACUGACGCUGAGGUGCGAAGGUGCGGGGAGCAAACAGGAUUAGAUACCCUGGUA
Molecule: ribosomal RNA, 460 nt
Filed under: uncultured Treponema sp.
Lineage: Bacteria; Pseudomonadati; Spirochaetota; Spirochaetia; Treponematales; Treponemataceae
Description: partial 16S ribosomal RNA
Rfam family: Bacterial small subunit ribosomal RNA
Source: RNAcentral